CUUGCUAGACUGAUGGCGAGUGGCGAACGGGUGAGUAACGCGUAGGAAUAUACCUUAAAGAGGGGGACAACUUGGGGAAACUCAAGCUAAUACCGCAUAAGCUCUUAGGAGGAAAGCUGGGGACCUUAGGGCCUGGCGCUUUAAGAUUAGCCUGCGUCCGAUUAGCUAGUUGGUGGGGUAAGGGCCUACCAAGGCGACGAUCGGUAGCUGGUCUGAGAGGAUGACCAGCCACACUGGAACUGAGACACGGUCCAGACUCCUACGGGAGGCAGCAGUGGGGAAUAUUGGACAAUGGGGGGAACCCUGAUCCAGCAAUGCCGCGUGUGUGAAGAAGGCCUGAGGGUUGUAAAGCACUUUCGGUGGGGAGGAGGGCUUAUAGGUUAAGAGCUAAUGAGUUGGACGAUACCCACAGAAGAAGCACCGGCUAACUCCGUGCCAGCAGCCGCGGUAAU
Molecule: ribosomal RNA, 452 nt
Filed under: uncultured bacterium
Lineage: Bacteria
Description: bacterial SSU rRNA
Rfam family: Bacterial small subunit ribosomal RNA
Source: RNAcentral